AAUAGAUACCCAGGUAGUCCACGCCGUAAACGAUGAGUGCUAAGUGUUAGAGGGUUUCCGCCCUUUAGUGCUGCAGCAAACGCAUUAAGCACUCCGCCUGGGGAGUACGGCCGCAAGGCUGAAACUCAAAGGAAUUGACGGGGGCCCGCACAAGCGGUGGAGCAUGUGGUUUAAUUCGAAGCAACGCGAAGAACCUUACCAGGCCUUGACAUCCUUAUGACUUCCCUAGAGAUAGGGCUUCCCCUUCGGGGGCAUAAGUGACAGGUGGUGCAUGGUUGUCGUCAGCUCGUGUCGUGAGAUGUUGGGUUAAGUCCCGCAACGAGCGCAACCCUUGAUCUUAGUUGCCAGCAUUGAGUUGGGGCACUCUAAGGUGACUGCCGGUGACAAACCGGAGGAAGGUGGGGAUGACGUCAAAUCAUCAUGCCCCUUAUGACCUGGGCUACACACGUGCUACAAUGGAUGGUACAAAGGGCAGCGAAGCCGCGAGGUGAAGCGAAUCCCAUAAAACCAUUCUCAGUUCGGAUUGUAGG
This 530-nucleotide ribosomal RNA is filed under the name uncultured bacterium. RNAcentral's name for it is "bacterial SSU rRNA". It matches the Rfam family "Bacterial small subunit ribosomal RNA", at positions 777 to 1304 of the family's 1533-position model. The record is from RNAcentral.